AUCAUGUCCCUGGUUAAUGGAGUGGAAUGUACACUCUAUUUCUUAAAUGAAUAAAGGAGAAAGGUGUUGAGAGAUGAGCUUUGACCUGUUGAUAUAAUCAUGUUUCUGAAGAUGAGAUCUGAGUCACCCCAGUUCAGCCUGGGUGCUGUCAGCCAUGUGCAUUCACCCAGUCUGUUGGGGGCAGUCAUGGAUAGCAUGAAGCUAUUCCAUUCUGGCAAGGUCAUCAUGAGUCGAUGAUUGAGAAA
RNAcentral lists this long non-coding RNA (245 nucleotides) under Homo sapiens (human). Its description in RNAcentral is "HSALNT0088138". The record is from RNAcentral. Lineage: Eukaryota; Metazoa; Chordata; Mammalia; Primates; Hominidae.